Molecule: ribosomal RNA, 489 nt
Filed under: uncultured Marinobacterium sp.
Lineage: Bacteria; Pseudomonadati; Pseudomonadota; Gammaproteobacteria; Oceanospirillales; Oceanospirillaceae
Description: bacterial SSU rRNA
Rfam family: Bacterial small subunit ribosomal RNA
Source: RNAcentral
GCAGUGGGGAAUAUUGGACAAUGGGGGCAACCCUGAUCCAGCCAUGCCGCGUGUGUGAAGAAGGCCUUCGGGUUGUAAAGCACUUUCAGCUGUGAGGAAAGGCGAGUGGUUAAUACCCGCUUGCUGUGACGUUAACAGCAGAAGAAGGACCGGCUAACUCCGUGCCAGCAGCCGCGGUAAUACGGAGGGUCCGAGCGUUAAUCGGAAUUACUGGGCGUAAAGCGCGCGUAGGUGGUUCAGUCAGUCAGAUGUGAAAGCCCCGGGCUCAACCUGGGAACUGCACCUGAUACUGCUGAGCUAGAGUACGGUAGAGGGUAGUGGAAUUUCCGGUGUAGCGGUGAAAUGCGUAGAGAUCGGAAGGAACACCAGUGGCGAAGGCGACUACCUGGACCGAUACUGACACUGAGGUGCGAAAGCGUGGGUAGCAAACAGGAUUAGAUACCCUGGUAGUCCACGCCGUAAACGAUGUCAACUAGCCGUUGGGGGACU